AGUCCUUGGCUUAUGGCAGGAAAACCGGUAGUUAAAGAAGUGUUGGUAUGCCCUUCAUUAAGAACUCAAACUUCUGAACCCUUCUUUGUUCUUUGGUUGAGAAUAUAGAAUAUUCUCACGAACCGAAGGAAAGGGCGGAGAUUCACUAAUAACUUCUUAUCAGACAGACAAAAGAAAGAGGGCAGGCGGGAAUAAAUAAUAGAAUAGGAGAACUCUUCGAUCGGAGGCAGAUUCCGAGUUGGUUAGUUUGACUUCUUCUCUUCUCCCUACUUACUAUCCUUACC
RNAcentral lists this long non-coding RNA (284 nucleotides) under Nicotiana benthamiana. RNAcentral's name for it is "long non-coding RNA (NBEN_LNC022551)". The record is from RNAcentral. Lineage: Eukaryota; Viridiplantae; Streptophyta; Magnoliopsida; Solanales; Solanaceae.